AGUUUUGCAGACGAGGAGUAACCGUUGCCCUGGACCACAAAGCCACUUAGCGGCAGAGCCUUGCACCCGCGAAGAUUAUUACUAGGGAGAUGUUUUUACCCCUGAGGACACCUGAGCCCUUAAGUGGGGCAGGCUUCGAGGGAGGGGGGCCGAUAAGGCGACUUCAGACAGGGCAAUCACGAUGGGCGCUUGACUUCUGCGCAGAAUUUUGACAAGGGGGAGGGUCUUGGCUUGAAGACAGAGCGUGGAGUCAUUUAAGGAUAAUGGAAGGGCAUAAGCGGAAGCUCAAGGAUAAAAAGCACUGAAAUUCUUGAGCUGGCGGCAGGGCUGAACGUAGCUCAGUGAAAGAUCCUUUCUUGCCACAUCCUCUCUAAGCCAGGCUGUGAGAACCGCGGGAAACGAAGGAGAAGGGUGGCGGUGGGGUCAGUAAAGGGCCGGCCCAGGGUGCAUCUUUUAGGUCCUGAUGCUAGGAGCAGCCGUCCCCGCCCCUAUAUUCCUCUCACUGGGUAGGUUUGCUCGGGAGUGGCUAUCUCCCAGGCAAAAAUUCGGCCUGGUUAAACUGGAAAGACCAGGAAAGCCCGCCCACCGGCGUCCGGGGAACGCCUGCAAAGUGCCAGCACCCUACCAACCCAGGCGCCGCACGGGUGGGGUCGCGGCCGCAGGCUCUUCCGGGGCGGGCCUAGCCUGACGCAGGAGGAGGGGCGGUCCCCGUCGCACACGAACCAAUCACGACUGUCGCUUCUACGUGGCUAGCAUUGACCAAUAGGAGACCGUAGUGAUAGCGACGGGGAAAUUCAAACGUGUUUGCGGAAAGGAGUUUGGGUUCCAUCUUUUCAUUUCCCCAGCGCAGCUUUCUGUAGAAAUGGAGUCCGAGGAUUUAAGUGGCAGAGAAUUGACAAUUGAUUCCAUAAUGAACAAAGUGAGAGACAUUAAAAAUAAGUUUAAAAAUGAAGACCUUACUGAUGAACUAAGCUUGAAUAAAAUUUCUGCUGAUACUACAGAUAACUCGGGAACUGUUAACCAAAUUAUGAUGAUGGCAAACAACCCAGAGGACUGGUUGAAUUUGUUGCUCAAACUAGAGAAAAACAGUGUUCCGCUAAGUGAUGCUCUUUUAAAUAAAUUGAUUGGUCGUUACAGUCAAGCAAUUGAAGCGCUUCCCCCAGAUAAAUAUGGCCAAAAUGAGAGUUUUGCUAGAAUUCAAGUGAGAUUUGCUGAAUUAAAAGCUAUUCAAGAGCCAGAUGAUGCACGUGACUACUUUCAAAUGGCCAGAGCAAACUGCAAGAAAUUUGCUUUUGUUCAUAUAUCUUUUGCACAAUUUGAACUGUCACAAGGUAAUGUCAAAAAAAGUAAACAACUUCUUCAAAAAGCUGUAGAACGUGGAGCAGUACCACUAGAAAUGCUGGAAAUUGCCCUGCGGAAUUUAAACCUCCAAAAAAAGCAGCUGCUUUCAGAGGAGGAAAAGAAGAAUUUAUCAGCAUCUACGGUAUUAACUGCCCAAGAAUCAUUUUCCGGUUCACUUGGGCAUUUACAGAAUAGGAACAACAGUUGUGAUUCCAGAGGACAGACUACUAAAGCCAGGUUUUUAUAUGGAGAGAACCUGCCACCACAAGAUGCAGAAAUAGGUUAUCGGAAUUCAUUGAGACAAACUAACAAAACUAAACAGUCAUGCCCAUUUGGAAGAGUCCCAGUUAACCUUCUAAAUAGCCCAGAUUGUGAUGUGAAGACAGAUGAUUCAGUUGUACCUUGUUUUAUGAAAAGACAAACCUCUAGAUCAGAAUGCCGAGAUUUGGUUGUGCCCGGAUCUAAACCAAGUGGAAAUGAUUCCUGUGAAUUAAGAAAUUUAAAGUCUGUUCAAAAUAGUCAUUUCAAGGAACCUCUGGUGUCAGAUGAAAAGAGUUCUGAACUUAUUAUUACUGAUUCAAUAACCCUGAAGAAUAAAACGGAAUCAAGUCUUCUAGCUAAAUUAGAAGAAACUAAAGAGUAUCAAGAACCAGAGGUUCCAGAGAGUAACCAGAAACAGUGGCAAUCUAAGAGAAAGUCAGAGUGUAUUAACCAGAAUCCUGCUGCAUCUUCAAAUCACUGGCAGAUUCCGGAGUUAGCCCGAAAAGUUAAUACAGAGCAGAAACAUACCACUUUUGAGCAACCUGUCUUUUCAGUUUCAAAACAGUCACCACCAAUAUCAACAUCUAAAUGGUUUGACCCAAAAUCUUUUUGUAAGACACCAAGCAGCAAUACCUUGGAUGAUUACAUGAGCUGUUUUAGAACUCCAGUUGUAAAGAAUGACUUUCCACCUGCUUGUCAGUUGUCAACACCUUAUGGCCAACCUGCCUGUUUCCAGCAGCAACAGCAGCAAAUACUUGCCACUCCACUUCAAAAUUUACAGGUUUUAGCAUCUUCUUCAGCAAACGAAUGCAUUUCGGUUAAAGGAAGAAUUUAUUCCAUAUUAAAGCAGAUAGGAAGUGGAGGUUCAAGCAAGGUAUUUCAGGUGUUGAAUGAAAAGAAACAGAUAUAUGCCAUAAAAUAUGUGAACUUAGAAGAAGCAGAUAACCAAACUCUUGAUAGUUACCGGAACGAAAUAGCUUAUUUGAAUAAACUACAACAACACAGUGAUAAGAUCAUCCGACUUUAUGAUUAUGAAAUCACGGACCAGCACAUCUACAUGGUAAUGGAGUGUGGAAAUAUUGAUCUUAAUAGUUGGCUUAAAAAGAAAAAAUCCAUUGAUCCAUGGGAACGCAAGAGUUACUGGAAAAAUAUGUUAGAGGCAGUUCACACAAUCCAUCAACAUGGCAUUGUUCACAGUGAUCUUAAACCAGCUAACUUUCUGAUAGUUGAUGGAAUGCUAAAGCUAAUUGAUUUUGGGAUUGCAAACCAAAUGCAACCAGAUACAACAAGUAUUGUUAAAGAUUCUCAGGUUGGCACAGUUAAUUAUAUGCCACCAGAAGCAAUCAAAGAUAUGUCUUCCUCCAGAGAGAACGGGAAAUCUAAGUCAAAGAUAAGCCCCAAAAGUGAUGUUUGGUCCUUAGGAUGUAUUUUGUACUAUAUGACUUACGGGAAGACACCAUUUCAGCAGAUAAUUAAUCAGAUUUCUAAAUUGCAUGCCAUAAUUGAUCCUAAUCAUGAAAUUGAAUUUCCUGAUAUUCCAGAGAAAGAUCUUCAAGAUGUGUUAAAGUGUUGUUUAAAAAGGGACCCAAAACAGAGGAUAUCCAUUCCUGAGCUCCUGGCUCAUCCAUAUGUUCAAAUUCAAACUCAUCCAGGUAACCAAAUGGCCAAGGGAACCACUGAAGAAAUGAAAUAUGUUCUGGGCCAACUUGUUGGUCUGAAUUCUCCUAACUCCAUUUUGAAAGCUGCUAAAGAUUAUCUGAGUUGGUUGUUUUUUAUGUUGGAGCUGGCGCAGCUGGUCUGCUGAUCCAGGAUGGCCUCACUCACGAGUGGAACUUCAGCAGGAAUAACUGAGAUGACUGGGAUCAUCAGGGUCUUGGUAUAGAUAGGGUUCUCUGGAAGCAGAUUCUGGGAUGGAAUUUGAGGUGCAAGAUGUUUAUUAGGAACCAAUACCUGUGAAAGAAAAGGAGAAAAAGGAUUGUUGCAGAGGGAGAAGUUGAACUGUGAUGCAGGCUUCACGAAGACUUGGCACACUUUGUAGGGAGCUCUGGAGUGAACAUUGCCCAUGUGUGGUGUCCAUUGUCAGGCUGAAAUGGCCAGUCUUUAUACACACACCUCAUUCACAAGGGUGUGACCUCUGCUGCUGAGGUGGACCCUGAGGAACUGACAGCUGAAGACUGCUGACCACAUUUCCUACAGCUGGACAACCAGACCUUCUUCGAAGGGAAAUUGGGCAACAAAUCUCCAUGUCUACCACAGCCCUCUCUCCAGGAGGUUAACCCUGACUCGUUGUUCCUAUGGUGGCAGAAGGGUUUGUAGCAUAAAGAUAGGGCAAGCAUAAUGUGCAAGUACAUUCCAAACAUCUACUAACCUUUUAUUUGCUAAUGUCUCAUUGGCCAAAGCAAGUCAGAUAGUCAAUAUCAGAUUCAAAGCUUGGACAGACAGACUUCACCUCUUAAUGGGAGAAGUGACAGUCAUAUUGUAAAGGAGUGUGCCUACAUGGACAGGAAGAAUUUGCUUUGGUAUCAGGAUGAUGCUGGCCUCAUAAAAUGAGUUACAAAGGAUUCCCUCUUUUUCUAUUGAUUGGAAUAGUUUCAGAAGGAAUGGUACCAGCUCCUCCUUGUACCUCUGGUAGAAUUUGGCUGUGAAUCCAUCUGGUCCUGGACUUUUUUUGUUGGUUGCUGCUCUCCCGGAUCGUCUUGAUCCAAGCUAACAUAUCAUCUAUGUCUUCAGCCUGAAACAGGCAUUCACAGUCAGACAUGACGGAGUCGUCUGCUCUCUUUUAUCUUUGUACAGGUAAAGUGAAUGACCCCGAAGGACAACAUACAUCUGUUUCCAUGGCUGAAUACUUCCACCAACUCGCUUGCCCUUAUCGGUGACAAGGGGUCGGAAAUGGAGCCACCCUUCCUUGGCAGCAUCACUGAAGACCUCUGAGGAAGAAUCUUUUCUGGACCCAGAGUCUUCUGAUGACUUUUGGCUGUCUGCGAUCUUGAUUCCCUUCAGACUAGAUACGUGCUUAAAGGACAAUUUUGCAUCUUCUCUGUAAUCAUCCAGACCCUCAUCAUAUGAUUUUGAUCUUUCUGUCUUUGAGUUGGGCUGAGCAUCCAGGCUAGGAGGGCCAACAGAUUCGUGGUCAUGUGAGAGCUGACGGCGAAUUAAUGGAGCUGAAGUUGUGAGGCUAGGAGGAACUGUUGCUAUGGAGGGGACCUGAAAGUUAGAGGCUGAUAGAACAGCAGAAGCAAGGAUAUGUGCAAUAUCAUGAUCAAUGCUAGGGCUAGUUGGUUCAUCUAUAAAUGGUAUGGAAGUCAAAGAAUCGCCAGGCGGACUGGUACUCGAGGCUUUUCUUUCCUCCAUUCUUUUUAUGUGGACCUCUCGACGUGCAUCAUUGGGCAGCCAGCAGGUAGUGUCUGACCAGGUCUCCUGGUCGUUUACUGCCAAGAUGUAAGACUGAUGCCUUAAAGGCUGCGGUGUCUGGCGUCCAGAUGGAGGUUUUUCCCUUAGGAUGACAGCUUCUUUAUUAUCUAAAGUAUCUGAUUGCUCAAUUUCAGCCUCUUGUAAACUUAAGUCUUGAUUCCUUUGACUGACAGGUAGUUCUAAAUCUGAAGUACCAGCGUUUUCACUCGACUGAGGGGCAGGUUUGGCAGAGGCUCCAGAUAAAGAGGGGGAUUUCCCAGUCUCCACUUGCUGAUUGGGGGCACUGUCAGUCCUUACCCAUGUCUGCUGAUUCAACAGACUGUUCUGAUGCAAGUGAUUUACUGGUCUUUGGUCUUUGAUAGAAACAAAUGAUUUCUGGCUAAAUGAUGGUUUUGUGACAUGCGUGGAAGGAGCUUUCAGAGAAUUACUUCGGACUUUCACAAGAGGUGACCUGUCUUGUGAAAUACACUGAGGCAGUGACAUUCCACAAGUAGUCUGAAAAUUUCUGUUUGACUGCAGUGUUUUUAGAUCUGGUGGAAUUUUUUUAAACUGCGACACAGAUCCCACUCCUCUACCACUCAUUCGCCUGUUAUCAGAAUUAACAAAGCUUGGAGCCACAGCAAAAUUGGAACCUCGAAAAGAUUUAUGAAUUUCUUGCUGCCUAGGUCUUUCAUAAAUACCUCGUCUAUCAUCCUGUUCAGUAAACCCACUCCACUUGUAAGUCUGUUUUAUCUCUCCAUUGGAAUCAGGUAUUGGAGUUCCAGAAUUGACAUUUUCUAAGGUUUCAUCCUGUUCCUCAAUAUAAUCCCAUGAACGAGUUCUAUGAUUACUAAAACUAACAGAUGGAGACAUCAGUGCUCCUUGAGAUGCACUUCUUGGACAAUACUUCAUUAGCACAGAAUCUUCCAGUCUUUCUUGGGACACACUGCGUUGCCGUAUCUGGACAGACUGGGGCACUCGAUCAUGAGAGGUGCUUCGAUGUUGUCCCUGCAAAGUAGUGCGGUUGGGGACGACCUGGUUAUAAUCCAUCGUGCUUUGAGAUGCUGCUCUUAAACUAUCUAAUCUUUCUUGUAUUGUCUGACAACCUAUGUGCAAUCAUCUGUUAUCAAUAUACUCUUUGUAAGUUUUAUAGUUUUUCCAGUCUAUGUGCUGAUGGGAAUUUGGCGAAUAGUGAUUAACAGAUACAGAGGAAGCCUCCACAGCUUGAGAUCUGCUGCUUGAGAUUCCAUCAGAAUGUCCACUGUAAUUUCCAGAUUUAAGUAAAAUUCCAGAAGGUUCCAAUGAUCUGGAGCCUGCAGGCUGAUGAAUUAGAUGAGUGGUGGGAAUUGAUAAUGGUGGUGAUGUGGUUCUGGACACUGUUUUUAAAGAGGUCUGCUCAUUCACGCCAUACCUCACUUCUUCAGUUCUAUGUGAAGGACGUGUAUGGUUGUUUCUAUUGGAUAACAAAUCUACAACCUUCUCAGAAGGCACAAUGACAGUCCUUACACUUUCAUUGCAAACACACACUGCUGUGUUUGAUUUUGCAACAUCUGUUGGUGAUGGAGGCACUUGUAUUUCCAUUCUAUAGACCCUACCAGGUUGUGUCAGUACUGGUGUACUGGUUUGCUGUUUGCUCAAUGAUGAGUCAGGAGGAGAUAUUUCAACUGGCUGUGCCAUGGCUGAUGGGGCAGAUGACAGCCAGGGAUAGCAGAUUGGUGGAGGUUCAGGUAUAUUGCGGGCAUUGCCACUAUAAGCUUCGUUGCCUUUCAGGUAGGCAUCUUGAGAAUAUGCCACUUGGAGAAUGUCUUCAUAUUUUGGCAUAACACUAAGCUCAAAUGUUGUAUCACUGUUUUGAAUUAAAGCAAUUACUUGGGAAUAGGUUUUGCCAAUAACACUUUCUCCAUUGACUUUUAUAAUUUGGUCACCUGUACAUAAUCCAGCUUCAAAAGCAGGUCCUCCUUCUUUAACUUGCUUAACAAAAUGGUAUCCAUUGGGUCCAAGUGGUUUCUUUGUUUUCCUUGAGGCGUUUCCUGUUUCCAAAGUAAUGGCUGAGAGACUGACCAGCUGCACAGAGCUUCCAUCAAUCUCAAAAGGCUCCUCUGUUUCCAUUUUCUUCAUCCUUAUAUGAAAAUUGAAUUGCAGACUCUGGGGGAUAAAAAAUAAAAUGUCUUAAUGU
This is an RNA transcript of Pan troglodytes (chimpanzee), 7168 nucleotides long. It is a transcript of the gene named TTK protein kinase, with no coding region annotated. NCBI's taxonomy places the organism in Eukaryota, Metazoa, Chordata, Mammalia, Primates, Hominidae. The record is from RefSeq and is a predicted model, not a curated record. The transcript is spliced from 25 exons.